RNAcentral lists this transfer RNA (61 nucleotides) under Gammarus duebeni. RNAcentral's name for it is "tRNA-Leu". Lineage: Eukaryota; Metazoa; Arthropoda; Malacostraca; Amphipoda; Gammaridae. The record is from RNAcentral.
AUCAUUUUGGCGGAGAUACGCGCGAGGUUUAGGACUUUGAUACGGUAGCAGCCAGGUGAUA